CCUACGGGAGGCAGCAGUGGGGGAUAUUGCACAAUGGGGGGAACCCUGAUGCAGCGACGCCGCGUGGGUGAAGGAGCGUUUCGGCGCGGAAAGCCCUAUCGGCAGGGAAGAAGAUGACGGUACCUGACCAAGAAGCCCCGGCGAAAUACGUGACAGCAGCGGUGGGAAUACGGAGGCGGCAAGCGUUAUCCGGAUUUACUGGGUGUAAGGGGGGCGCAGACGGGAAUGCAAGCCAGGAGUGAAAGCCCGGGGCCCAACCCCGGGACUGCCCUUGGAACUGGAUGGCUGGAGUACAGGAGGGGCAGGCGGAAGUCCUGGUGUAGCGGUGAAAUGCGUAGAUAUCAGGAAGAACACCGAUGGCGAAGGCGGCCUGCUGGACUGUGACUGACGUUGAGGCCCGAAGGCGUGGGGAGCAAACAGGAUUAGAUACCCCAGUAGUC
RNAcentral lists this ribosomal RNA (440 nucleotides) under uncultured bacterium. RNAcentral's name for it is "partial 16S ribosomal RNA". It matches the Rfam family "Bacterial small subunit ribosomal RNA", at positions 338 to 795 of the family's 1533-position model. The record is from RNAcentral.